Molecule: small nuclear RNA, 23 nt
Filed under: Arabidopsis thaliana (thale cress)
Lineage: Eukaryota; Viridiplantae; Streptophyta; Magnoliopsida; Brassicales; Brassicaceae
Description: snRNA_01661
Source: RNAcentral
AUAGUCGAUUAUACUACGAACAA